Molecule: ribosomal RNA, 372 nt
Filed under: uncultured organism
Description: partial 16S ribosomal RNA
Rfam family: Bacterial small subunit ribosomal RNA
Source: RNAcentral
GUAGGUGGCAAGCGUUGUCCGGAAUUAUUGGGCGUAAAGCGCGCGCAGGCGGUUCUUUAAGUCUGAUGUGAAAGCCCACGGCUCAACCGUGGAGGGUCAUUGGAAACUGGAGAACUUGAGUACAGAAGAGGAAAGCGGAAUUCCACGUGUAGCGGUGAAAUGCGUAGAGAUGUGGAGGAACACCAGUGGCGAAGGCGGCUUUCUGGUCUGUAACUGACGCUGAGGCGCGAAAGCGUGGGGAGCAAACAGGGAUUAGAUACCCUGGUAGUCCGCGCCGUAAACGAUGAGUGCUAAGUGUUAGGGGGUUUCCGCCCCCUUAGUGCUGCAGCUAACGCAUUAAGCACUCCGCCUGGGGAUACGGCCGCAAGGCUG